Molecule: ribosomal RNA, 496 nt
Filed under: uncultured bacterium
Lineage: Bacteria
Description: partial 16S ribosomal RNA
Rfam family: Bacterial small subunit ribosomal RNA
Source: RNAcentral
GACGAACGCUGGCGGCGUGCCUAAUACAUGCAAGUUGAGCGCUGAAGGUUGGUACUUGUACCGACUGGAUGAGCAGCGAACGGGUGAGUAACGCGUGGGGAAUCUGCCUUUGAGCGGGGGAAAACUUUGGAAACGAAAGCCUAUAACGCAAUAAAACCUUUAACAACAGUUUUAAGGUUGAAAGAAGCCAUUGCAUUACCCAAAGAAGAAUCCGCGUUGGAUUAGCUAGUUGGUGAGGUAAAGGCUCACCAAGGCGAUGAUACAUAGCCGACCUGAGAGGGUGAUCGGCCACAUUGGGACUGAGACACGGCCCAAACUCCUACGGGAGGCAGCAGUAGGGAAUCUUCGGCAAUGGACGAAAGUCUGACCGAGCAACGCCGCGUGAGUGAAGAAGGUUUUCGGAUCGUAAAACUCUGUUGGUAGAGAAGAACGUUGGUGAGAGUGGAAAGCUCAUCAAGUGACGGUAACUACCCAGAAAGGGACGGCUAACUACGUG